UACGGGGGGAGCAAGCGUUGUUCGGAUUUACUGGGCGUAAAGGGCGCGUAGGCGGCCACGACAAGUCACUUGUGAAAUCUCCGGGCUUAACUCGGAACGGUCAAGUGAUACUGUCGGGCUAGAGUACAGAAGGGGCAACUGGAAUUCUCGGUGUAGCGGUGAAAUGCGUAGAUAUCGGGAGGAACACCAGUGGCGAAGGCGGCUGCCUGGAGCUUUGCUGACGCUGAUGCGCGAAAGCGUGGGGAGCGAUCCGG
Molecule: ribosomal RNA, 254 nt
Filed under: uncultured prokaryote
Description: partial 16S ribosomal RNA
Rfam family: Bacterial small subunit ribosomal RNA
Source: RNAcentral